GAGGACCAGAUGAGGACCACAGCACCAGAUGGACAGCGGCGGUGGUCUUUCUUUCAGUGGGCUGAGCAGGACUCCACUGGACUUUCGUCUCACUCUUGGGGAAGCUGAUGGUGGGCGUCAACCAUCCCGAUGCCCAGACCCCCAGCAGACCUCUGAACCCCUCUCAGCACCCCAGAGUCCAAGACCCAGUGAAUAAGGUCCUAGCUGCCCCCCCACCCCGACACCACCCGCCAGCCAGGAGGACGAGGAGGGUCCCGUCCCCACCAGCAGAGGACGUAGUUUGUUUCCAUCUGCUUCUUCUGUGCCGACGGGUUCGGGAAGCUCCUCCCACACAGGAAGCGCCUCACACACAGGAAGCUGUCAUCCGCUGUUUGCAUCAUCUGCUGACAAGAAAUCAAGGAGGAGACUGAAGCUUCAGGCUGAACGAGAAAUAACCAUCUAAAAACGUUCAAAUGUCAUUUGUCGCAUAAAAUCCCGUAUGUUCAUGUUCAUGUAUGUACAGUAUUGUUACUGUUUAUUUGCUGAGUAGCACAAUUAUAUACAUGUUCAACAAACCUUCUCGAUGUCUUUCUUUAUAUUGUAUCAUUUUUCUGAUAUAGUGAAAAUAUCUGACAAUGUAUGACACUUUAUAUACAAUAAAUAUUCUCCCUUUUUGAUUUCCA
Pseudoliparis swirei is the source of this 662-nucleotide long non-coding RNA. RefSeq lists it as uncharacterized. Lineage: Eukaryota; Metazoa; Chordata; Actinopteri; Perciformes; Liparidae. The transcript is spliced from 2 exons. The record is from RefSeq and is a predicted model, not a curated record.